Molecule: long non-coding RNA, 494 nt
Filed under: Equus asinus (donkey)
Lineage: Eukaryota; Metazoa; Chordata; Mammalia; Perissodactyla; Equidae
Description: lncRNA (ENSEASG00005029042.1)
Source: RNAcentral
GAACAGCUGAGCUGGUGCAGGCACCCUCCCCUCUUCCUGAUUUCGGUGGGAAAGUUUCUAAAGUUCCAUCAAGUUUCAUUGCUUGCUCUGAAUUUAUGGCUGAAUAUAUGGCAGGAACCACUUCUACCUUCAGUUCCAAUUGGAAAAUGAAUUUCUCAGUUACUUAUCAACUUAAAUGAUGUGCUCCUCGUCCCCUGCCCUCCUCUCUCUUCUCUCAGAGCCUCAGACUAAGUGAAAAUAUUCCCCUCAGCAUUUGCUGUCUGCUUUCAAGGCUCUUCUAGACGACCUGCCCAUGCUCAGCAUUCAAGUGAGUUGCUGCCCAUGAGAAGGACAAAGCUGAGAUGCUGAGUGGCUGCUUGGUGACUGGCUGGGUGCCACCACCAUCGAUAGACCUUGUUCCUGUUAUUUGUCACCGAGCACAGGUGAUCCAAACUCAUGCCUCAAUAAAAUGAUGAAUUACCUUAACUGCCUUUGGAGUUACUCUGAUCACAAAC